AUACCGCGUUGCCUAAUGGAUAUGGCGUCUGACUUCGAAUCAGAAGAUUGCAUGUUUGAAUCAUGUCGCGGACG
Trichonephila inaurata madagascariensis is the source of this 74-nucleotide non-coding RNA. The record is from the annotation of a GenBank genome assembly. Lineage: Eukaryota; Metazoa; Arthropoda; Arachnida; Araneae; Nephilidae.